GCCGACGUAGCUCAGCUGGUAGAGCAGGCGCUUCGUAAGCGUCAGGUCGCCGGUUCGAGUCCGGCCGUCGGCUCCA
This 76-nucleotide transfer RNA is filed under the name Chloroflexota bacterium. Its description in RNAcentral is "Chloroflexi bacterium (soil metagenome) tRNA-Thr". It matches the Rfam family "tRNA". Rfam says of the family: Transfer RNA (tRNA) molecules are approximately 80 nucleotides in length. Their secondary structure includes four short double-helical elements and three loops (D, anti-codon, and T loops). The record is from RNAcentral. Lineage: Bacteria; Bacillati; Chloroflexota.